RNAcentral lists this small nuclear RNA (99 nucleotides) under Oryctolagus cuniculus (rabbit). The record is from RNAcentral. Lineage: Eukaryota; Metazoa; Chordata; Mammalia; Lagomorpha; Leporidae.
GGGCUCACUUCGGCAGCACAUAUACUAAAAUUGGAAUGAUACAGAGAUUAGCAUUGCCCCUGCACAAGGAUGACAUGCAAAUAUUUUUUCCCAUUCUGU